CCUACGGGGAGCAGCAGUGAGGAAUAUUGGUCAAUGGCCGGAAGGCUGAACCAGCCAUGCCGCGUGAAGGUCAGUGCCCUAUGGGCGUUAAACUUCUUUUGUGCGGGAGCAAUAAUGGUCACGUGUGGCCAGACGAGAGUACCGUACGAAUAAGCAUCGGCUAACUCCGUGCCAGCAGCAGCGGUAAUUCGGGGGAUGCAAGCGUUAUCCGGAUUGCUUUGGUGUAAAGGGUUCGUAGUGUGUGAGGUAAGUCAGUGGGUAAAUGCCCCAGCGCAACGGGGUGAAGCGACAUUGAUACUGCCUUGCUGGAAUGCGGAUGCCGUAGGAGGAAUGUGUGGUGUAGCGGUGAAAUGCAUAGAUAUCACACAGAACACCGAUUGCGAAGGCAUCUCACGAAUCCGCGAUUGACGCUGAUGCACGAAAGCGUGGGUAUCAAACAGGAUUAGAUACCCGGGUAGUC
This 460-nucleotide ribosomal RNA is filed under the name uncultured bacterium. RNAcentral describes it as "partial 16S ribosomal RNA". It matches the Rfam family "Bacterial small subunit ribosomal RNA", at positions 338 to 795 of the family's 1533-position model. The record is from RNAcentral.